AUUGCAGUAGGGAAUCUUCCGCAAUGGACGAAAGUCUGACGGAGCAACGCCGCGUGAGUGAUGAAGGUUUUCGGAUCGUAAAACUCUGUUGUUAGGGAAGAACAAGUACGGGAGUAACUGCUCGUACCUUGACGGUACCUAACCAGAAAGCCACGGCUAACUACGUGCCAGCAGCCGCGGUAAUACGUAGGGUGCAAGCGUUGUCCGGAAUUAUUGGGCGUAAAGAGCUCGUAGGCGGUUUGUCACGUCUGCUGUGAAAUUUCGAGGCUCAACCUCGAACUUGCAGUGGGUACGGGCAGGCUAGAGUGCGGUAGGGGAGAUGGGAAUUCCUGGUGUAGCGGUGGAAUGCGCAGAUAUCAGGAGGAACACCAAAGGCGAAGGCACAUCUCCGGGCCGUAACUGACGCUGAGGAGCGAAAGCGUGGGGAGCAAACAGGAUUAGAUACCCUGGUAGUCCACGCCGUAAACGGUGGGUGCUAGCUGUGGGCCACAUUCCACGUGGUCCGUGACGAAGUUAACACAUUAAGCACCCCGCCUGGGGAGUACGGCCGCAAGGCUAAAACUCAAAGGAAUUGACGGAAUC
RNAcentral lists this ribosomal RNA (582 nucleotides) under uncultured bacterium. RNAcentral describes it as "bacterial SSU rRNA". It matches the Rfam family "Bacterial small subunit ribosomal RNA", at positions 348 to 920 of the family's 1533-position model. The record is from RNAcentral.